Molecule: long non-coding RNA, 266 nt
Filed under: Trifolium pratense (red clover)
Lineage: Eukaryota; Viridiplantae; Streptophyta; Magnoliopsida; Fabales; Fabaceae
Description: long non-coding RNA (TPRA_LNC002236)
Source: RNAcentral
CAAUGCCUAAAUAAGGAGAACAACUUCCAUGAUUAACCAAUGGUGCUGCUGCAGGUCCAUGAGGGACAGUAGGUAAUACAUUCUGUGCUGCUGCAGGUGCAUGAGGGACAGUAGGUAAUACAUUUUGUGCUGCUGCAGGUGCAUGAGGGAAAGUAGGUAAUACACGCUGUGCUGCCGCAGGUGCAUUGGGGAUGGUGGGUAACCUAUGAUCUCUUGGUGAAAAUUUCUUUUUAUUGUUUUUUCUCUUGUCAGGAUUUUGAUCAUUU